UACGGAGGGUGCAAGCGUUAUCCGGAUUUAUUGGGUUUAAAGGGUCCGUAGGCGGACUGGUAAGUCAGCGGUGAAAUCUCAUAGCUUAACUAUGAAACUGCCGUUGAUACUGUCAGUCUUGAGUGUAUUUGAAGUAGCUGGAAUGAGUAGUGUAGCGGUGAAAUGCAUAGAUAUUACUCAGAACACCAAUUGCGAAGGCAGGUUACUAAGAUACAACUGACGCUGAUGGACGAAAGCGUGGGUAGCGAAC
RNAcentral lists this ribosomal RNA (250 nucleotides) under uncultured bacterium. Its description in RNAcentral is "partial 16S ribosomal RNA". It matches the Rfam family "Bacterial small subunit ribosomal RNA", at positions 524 to 773 of the family's 1533-position model. The record is from RNAcentral.